GGGGAUAUAGCUCAGAGAGCUCCACUCUUGUUAUUGGCGGAUGUCAGCGGUUCGAGUCCGCUUAUCUCUUAUCUCCA
RNAcentral lists this transfer RNA (77 nucleotides) under Arceuthobium rubrum. Its description in RNAcentral is "tRNA-Ala". It matches the Rfam family "tRNA". From Rfam's summary of the family: Transfer RNA (tRNA) molecules are approximately 80 nucleotides in length. Their secondary structure includes four short double-helical elements and three loops (D, anti-codon, and T loops). Further hydrogen bonds mediate the characteristic L-shaped molecular structure. tRNAs have two regions of fundamental functional importance: the anti-codon, which is responsible for specific mRNA codon recognition, and the 3' end, to which the tRNAs corresponding amino acid is attached (by aminoacyl-tRNA synthetases). tRNAs cope with the degeneracy of the genetic code in two manners: having more than one tRNA (with a specific anti-codon) for a particular amino acid; and 'wobble' base-pairing, i.e. permitting non-standard base-pairing at the 3rd anti-codon position. The record is from RNAcentral. Lineage: Eukaryota; Viridiplantae; Streptophyta; Magnoliopsida; Santalales; Viscaceae.